RNAcentral lists this ribosomal RNA (507 nucleotides) under uncultured bacterium. Its description in RNAcentral is "bacterial SSU rRNA". It matches the Rfam family "Bacterial small subunit ribosomal RNA", at positions 338 to 844 of the family's 1533-position model. The record is from RNAcentral.
CCUACGGGAGGCAGCAGUAAGGAAUAUUGGUCAAUGGACGCAAGUCUGAACCAGCCAUGCCGCGUGAAGGAUUAAGGCCCUCUGGGUUGUAAACUUCUUUUAUAGGGGACGAAAAAAGGGCAUUCUUGCUCACUUGACGGUACUCUAGGAAUAAGCACCGGCUAACUCCGUGCCAGCAGCCGCGGUAAUACGGAGGGUGCAAGCGUUAUCCGGAUUUACUGGGUUUAAAGGGUGCGUAGGUGGGUUGGUAAGUCAGUGGUGAAAUCUUCGAGCUUAACUCGGAAACUGCCAUUGAUACUAUCAAUCUUGAAUCAUCUAGAGGUAAGCGGAAUAUGUCAUGUAGCGGUGAAAUGCUUAGAUAUGACAUAGAACACCAAUUGCGAAGGCAGCUUACUAUGGAUGUAUUGACACUGAGGCACGAAAGCGUGGGGAUCAAACAGGAUUAGAUACCCUGGUAGUCCACGACCUAACGAUAGANACUACACAUUGUGUAUAUACUAUAGUAGU